GAUCCUGGCUCAGGACGAACGCUGGCGGCGUGCUUAACACAUGCAAGUCGAACGGGAAGAAAAAGAAGAGCUUGCUCUUUUUUGGAUUCUAGUGGCAAACGGGUGAGUAACACGUAAACAACCUGCCUUCAGGAUGGGGACAACAGACGGAAACGACUGCUAAUACCGAAUACCUUCCAAUUUCCGCAUGGAGAUAGGAAGAAAGGGUGGCCUCUACUUGUAAGCUAUCGCCUGAAGAGGGGUUUGCGUCUGAUUAG
RNAcentral lists this ribosomal RNA (257 nucleotides) under uncultured bacterium. RNAcentral's name for it is "partial 16S ribosomal RNA". It matches the Rfam family "Bacterial small subunit ribosomal RNA", at positions 15 to 244 of the family's 1533-position model. The record is from RNAcentral.